This 518-nucleotide long non-coding RNA is filed under the name Homo sapiens (human). RNAcentral's name for it is "HSALNT0286851". The record is from RNAcentral. Lineage: Eukaryota; Metazoa; Chordata; Mammalia; Primates; Hominidae.
CGGAACCUUCUAACCUUGCGCGACUUUAGAAGCUGGCCCGGCCCGCCAGUGCCUUUGGCUUUAGGAGGUAGCAAACAGGAUGGGGCCGGCAGCGCCGUUCCGGAACCAUAGGGGGCUCCUGGGAAGCUACCAUCGCGAACAAGGCGCGGCUGCGUUGGCCCUUGGCUCCAGCCUGGCAAGCUGAGGUGAAAGCCCUGGAAUAAGAACUGUGAAGAGAGAAGCAGAGCAAUCAUGCUGAUAUCAGAUCUGCCAUUUAUGUGGAUUAGUGUCCUGAAGCCCUUUAGUCAAGACCUUCCUAUCGCCCAUCUCAGAAGCAUAAAAGUGUGACAGGAUUUUCAGUAGGAACACAACCAAGUAUUGAAGUAUGCUCAGAUGGGAUUUGAGUUUCUGAGGCUAUCACUCAUUCCUCCCCGAAUAAGCAGAAGCAAACAGUAGAUGGAGCCUGGAUUUUGCUUGGAUUCAGCUUCCUCAUUGUUCCAGUACGGCUUUUUACCACAUCUUGGUGUCUCAGUUAUGAA